Molecule: ribosomal RNA, 227 nt
Filed under: uncultured bacterium
Lineage: Bacteria
Description: partial 16S ribosomal RNA
Rfam family: Bacterial small subunit ribosomal RNA
Source: RNAcentral
CUGAACCAGCCAAGUAGCGUGAAGGAUGAAGGCUCUAUGAGUCGUAAACUUCUUUUAUAUAAGAAUAAAGUGCAGUAUGUAUACUGUUUUGUAUGUAUUAUAUGAAUAAGGAUCGGCUAACUCCGUGCCAGCAGCCGCGGUAAUACGGAGGAUCCGAGCGUUAUCCGGAUUUAUUGGGUUUAAAGGGAGCGUAGGUGGAUUGUUAAGUCAGUUGUGAAAGUUUGCGG